RNAcentral lists this long non-coding RNA (287 nucleotides) under Vigna radiata. RNAcentral's name for it is "long non-coding RNA (VRAD_LNC013349)". The record is from RNAcentral. Lineage: Eukaryota; Viridiplantae; Streptophyta; Magnoliopsida; Fabales; Fabaceae.
UUGGGCAAACCUCUAUGAGGUUAUUGCGGAGAAGAUCUGGCAGCAGCUCUGUAUAGGUCAUGGGGAUUGGAGUGAGAUUGACGACCUUCUCAUUGCGAUUAUAAUUUCUCUGCUCAAUGGCUCGAUUGGACCCAUAGGAAUGCGACAUCUGGGAAUAGGCAGUAAAAUGUGAAUUAGCCUUUUGUUUUCUAUUUUUCUCAUGCCCAUGAUCAUACCCAUUCAAACUCGCCACCAGAUUUGGAUCUAGUGCAAUUUUUCCAUUCCUUAUGCCACCCUCAACCCUCUCU